AUGCCCCGGGGCCUCCAUCCAGCGCAGCCCAGCUCCUGGAAGGCGGCUGCCCUCCCACCGGCACUUGCUUUGGGUUCCAGUCUCCUCUGUCCUUGUCCUGCACCCCCACCCUCACUUUGCUUUCUCCCAUCUCUGGAUGCCUGGCCUCCCUCCCCUGCCAUCCUGACCCCGGGAAGACUUUCUCUCUCUCUCUCUCUCUCUCUCUCUCUCUCUCUCUGUGUCUCAUUGUUAGUCUGGCUCUGUCUCUCUGUGUGUCUCUGUCAGUCUGUUUCUCUGUGUCUCUGUCAGUCUGCGUCUCUGUCUCUCUGUGUCUCUGACAGUGUCUCUGACAGUCUGUGUCUCUGUCUAUGUCUCUGUCAGUCUAUGUCUCUGUCUCUAUCUCUGUCUCUCUGUAUCUCUGUCAGUCUGUUUCUCUGUCUCUGUAUCUCUGUCUGUGCCUGUCUCUCUCUGUGCCUCUGUCUCUCUGUGUCUCUGUCAGUCUCUGUGUGUCUCUGUCUGUCCCUCACCCACACACUUCUUGCACAGGAAAUUGCUUCCUCCUGGAUGCGUUUUCCUCCCACUCUGCCCCGAGCCUGGCGCACACGAGAAACACCUCCUCAUUUUUCACCUUUGAACGCCUCCCCCCGGGAGUUCUCCCCAGCCCCGUGCAAAACGGGGUACAGGAGGGCUCCCCAGGCCUGGGGAGGGCAGCCGUCUGUCCCCAGGAGCAGCAGGGCUGGGGACUCCACCUGCCCGGGGCUUAGCACGCUCUGGCUCUGGGGUCAGCACAGAGUCUGGCACGAAACAGGCAUCAGGUGCACGGUAGGCGAGCAGGGGCCCAGACGAGCACGUUCUGGGCCGACGCGCUGCAGGCCGAGCCGGGCAGCCAGAGCCACGGAGCCGGCACCGCGGGUGAGCGCGUGGCACCCUCCGAGCCCGUGGCACUACCCUGCCAGGCUGCUCUGGCUGCAAGUCGGGGGCUUGGGCUCCAGCGGGGGUCUGGCAGGUGGGAGACCGCCAACGCGUUCCUCACGUCUGCCUCAGUCUGUCUUCCCAUGA
RNAcentral lists this long non-coding RNA (1038 nucleotides) under Canis lupus dingo (dingo). Its description in RNAcentral is "lncRNA (ENSCAFG00020015293.1)". Lineage: Eukaryota; Metazoa; Chordata; Mammalia; Carnivora; Canidae. The record is from RNAcentral.